This 430-nucleotide ribosomal RNA is filed under the name Pseudomonadota bacterium. RNAcentral describes it as "Proteobacteria bacterium partial 16S ribosomal RNA". It matches the Rfam family "Bacterial small subunit ribosomal RNA", at positions 355 to 776 of the family's 1533-position model. Lineage: Bacteria; Pseudomonadati; Pseudomonadota. The record is from RNAcentral.
UGGGGAAUAUUGGACAAUGGGGGGAACCCUGAUCCAGCCAUGCCGCGUGUGUGAAGAAGGCCUUAUGGUUGUAAAGCACUUUAAGCGAGGAGGAGGGUACUGGUAUUAAUACUACCAGGUACUGGACGUUACUCGCAGAAUAAGCACCGGCUAACUCUGUGCCAGCAGCCGCGGUAAUACAGAGGGUGCGAGCGUUAAUCGGAUUUACUGGGCGUAAAGCGUGCGUAGGCGGCUAAUUGAGUCGGAUGUGAAAUCCCCGAGCUUAACUUGGGAAUUGCAUUCGAUACUGGUUAGCUAGAGUGUGGGAGAGGAUGGUAGAAUUCCAGGUGUAGCGGUGAAAUGCGUAGAGAUCUGAAGGAAUACCGAUGGCGAAGGCAGCCAUCUGGCCUAACACUGACGCUGAGGUACGAAAGCAUGGGGAGCAAACAGG